Long non-coding RNA from Ailuropoda melanoleuca (giant panda), 3767 nucleotides. RefSeq lists it as uncharacterized. The transcript is spliced from 4 exons. NCBI's taxonomy places the organism in Eukaryota, Metazoa, Chordata, Mammalia, Carnivora, Ursidae. The record is from RefSeq and is a predicted model, not a curated record.
UUGACUUAACAGACUGGAUUGGAAAGGAAAUAUUAUGUACCUGGUGUAGAAAAUAUGUAACAUUGAAUAAUGUCAAUGUUAAUCUUUCCAAAUAAAUGUAUAAGUUUGAUGCAGAUCUACAAAAAAAAAAUCUGUUUGCAGAAGGAAAAAUAAUUAGGGCAUUUUCAGGACUGUGUAUCAGUAUUAGCAAAUCCAAGAUGGUGUGCUAUAUUUUUAAAUAAAAAGAAAUAAUGAGGUUUUGGGUGUUGAGGAAAUACUAAAUAUUUUACCUUUUAUUCAUCACACUAGCUGAGAAAACCAUUGCAAAAGACCACCUUCUAUGAUCCCAUUUAAAUGAUAUGUCCAGAAAAAGCAAAUCUACAGAGACAGAAAUUGAGAGAAGACUGCAGUUGGGCCUAUACCACAAGGGGGUCACCAGCAGUGGGACCACUUGGAAAGAGAGUUGUCCAAAUGAGGGAAGAUUAGCUGAACAGGGGGGUGCAGAGAGAAUGGUAUUUGGACCCUGAAAUCAAAAGACCCUCCUAGUGAAUGCACCUGACGUUGGGAAUUGCUCAUUGUGGAGCCUGGUAAGACUAGGACACACAGGAUAUAGACUGUGCUUAUUUAUAUAUUCCUGGUGCUUAUUUUCUUUAACAAAAAUUUGGACUAAGACAGUCCAGAGUUUCUCUGAAGCAACUGACCAGCUGUGAACUUGGAUACAUUACUUCUCCUUUCUGUACCUCAAUUUCCUCAUCUGUAAAUGGAGAUAAUAUUGCAUACCUCUUGGGGCUGUUCUGAAGAAUAAACAUCUGGUCUAAUUCCUGGCAAAUAGUAGGUUCUUGGUAAAUAUCAGUUCUCCCUCAUACUCCUUCUAAAAUAUUAUUUUAGAGAGAAUGCCGGAAAGUAGGAAAAUGUGGAGCUCUUCUGGUCAUUUUUCCCCUGUGGCUGGCAAGGGCUUGCUGCACUCUGUAUCUGGUGGGACCCAAAUAUGCAUCUCUGACCUAGCUUCAAACCUGUAUACUCGGCUGCCUACUCAGCAUCAAUUAGAUGUCUCACAGGCACAUCAUGCCCAAAACUCAUUAUCUCCCACCCCUCCAACCUGCUGAUCCUCAAGGCUAUGGUCCAUAUUCCGUCAAUAGCACCAACAUCCACCCAGCUGUUCAAGCUAGAAGACUGGGAGUUGUUCUUGACUCUUUCUUUUCCCUCAAAUCCCAAAUGUAAUCAAUCUUCAAGUUCUAUCAGUCUAUCUAGAGGUACAUAGAACCCAUUGUUUAAUUUUCAUCCAAAAAUCUUUAUUCAGCAGUGACUAUGGGUGAGGCAGGCACUGUGCCAGGCUCUGUCUUCACUGCCUCCUCCCCAGCACUGAUCACAGUCCUCCUGAUUUGACUGAAGAAAUAGCUUCCCAGUUAGUUGCCCUGAAUGAGCGUUUUACUUCUUUGAAUCCUUUCUGCAUAUUCUGCCAGAGAUUCAUUCUUUUGCUUAACACCUUAAGUGGCUUCCCACAGAGCCCUGAGGAAAGAACUCCUGACAUAGCUGGUAAGCCUCUCUAACAUUCAGGCCCACCGAGCACAAGUCAAGUCCCUGUGAUGGGCUCCAGUCAUUGGUGGGGUUCCCUGAGGUUGGGAUUUGAGAACAAGUGGUUCAUUUGGGAGGUAGUCUCAUGAAGCUGUGAUAGGAAGUGGAGGAAUGAGGAAGGAAGAAAAAGAGGCUUAUUCAGAGUGCCUUAAUGAACAGACUACUGGGAGAUGGGUAACGGGCUCAGUCUCACUGGGGAACUCUGGGAAACAAUAUAUGCCAUAUCCUGAAUUGCGUUUCCCCAAAAUUCAUAUGUUGAAGCCUAACCCUCAAUAUGACUGCAUUUGGAGAUAGGGAUAAUAAGGAGAUAAUUAAAAAUUAAGGAGGGCCUAUAAUGAGAUCUUAAGGGUGGGGCCUUGAUACAGUAGGAUUUGUGUAUUUAUAGGAAGUGACACCAGGGAGCUCCCCCGAAUUCUUUCUUUCUCUUUCUGAGAGAGCACAUAAAAAAGAGGUCAUGUGAACAUGCAGUGACAUGGUGGCCACCCACAAGCCAGGAAGAGAGGCUUCACCAGAAACCACCCAUCUUGGCGCCCUGAUCUCAGCCAUCCAGCCUCUGGAACUGUGAGAAAAUACAUUUCUGUUGUUUAAGCCACUAAGUGGAUGGCAUUUUGUUAUGGCAGCCCUGGCUAUGAUGGCAUAGAACACCCCCAGAGCUGUCUCACCCGCAAGGAGAGGAAGCUGGGUAGUUAACUCUGCUUUCUCCCUCACCAUCGGUUGAGGGCUCUUCCUGAUGGCAUUGAUCCCCUGGCACUGUUGGCCUACACCGUGCGAGGGCUGAGCAUGCUUCUGCCCGCUGUGGGCCAGAGAAGUCUUGAAGCCUUCGGCUUGCCUGGGUGGCAGGUCAGGAUGAUAAUCUGAAAACUGUCAUCAUAAGAAACAGAUACCUGCCAAUAACUCUGGAUGGCCACUUGGAAGGCUGCUAUUACAUGGACCUACCAACAUUUUCUAAGUGUGUCUCUCACUUUGCAUUUCCUUCACAUUUUUCCCAUUACUUGGAUCUUCAGCCUCACAUUGUUGUACACCAAUCAACACUCCCUGAGAAGGAAUCAACAUGGACUGGACAAGGAUUUGCUCACAGCCACCCCAUAUCUGGGUGGAGGGGCUGUCAGCAUUCCUGCACCUUUGAGCUGGAGAAGCAGCCGUGGGGCGAGGCUGCUGCAUGUGUGCUCAUUUACUUCUUGGACAAAGAGACGUGCCGUACUGACUACUGACCAGGCAUUGCGCUGGGCACAGUCAGAGGAACCUUCCAGCAAGCCUCUCACCUGCCUUCCUAAGGAGCAAGUGUGUUGUGAUGCUGAGUCCCCUCAGACUACAACCGCACAAGGACACAUUCAUCUACAUGUGAAAGAGCGUGAGCCCGAGAAGGAGGACCAACAUCUCCUAAAACGAGAAAUCACUCCCUGUCUUACCCAUAAGUGGCACCGUCUCACCUUACCCGGGAAGCCCUGUUUGACUCUUGGAAUGCUUACAGAUCUCCAUAUCCCUGAAAUCCUAUGAUGCUUAAGAGUUCAAAAUAUAUCAAAUUUCACAAACUCUAAGACGCCGUCACCUGAAGAGGCACCGUUAUUUUCUGUACCAUUAGGAAAACCUUCGAAUAAAACUGGCAACUAUAGAAUGUAAGACACAUCCUUAUUUCAGAAAGGUUAAGCUGUGAAAAACUUUGUCUUAGGCUCAGUGAAAUGCUGUAAUUUUUAGUGCUACAUAUUAUUCAUAAUUAUGAUGGACAUUACCACUGUUUCAUAGUUGCGUGUGUAUUUUCUGACUAGAACGUGUACUUCAUGAGGACAGAAUUCAUGCCUGGCUCAUUCACUGUUGCAGCCCUAACCAUCCAGCACACUGUCUGGUCCUAAAUAAAUGACUGAAUGAAUGGACUCCUAACAUGAAUGGAAAGUUCCUUGAAGACAGGGAUUAUGUAUUACGUGCUUAUGUAUAGUUAUUUUUAAAAUUGACAUGUAACAUACAUAUAGUAAAGCGCACUAAUCUCAAGUGUACAGACUAAAGUCUUUUUAUAUAUGUAUAUAUCUACAUUAUAAUCACUGAAAUUAAGAUAUAGAGCAUUUCUCUAUGGUACUUUCCCCAGUGCUGAGGAAAUAGGAGAUAUCCAUUAGUAUUUAUCUAUACUCAUUGAUUGAAUAAAUGGUCUCCAGCCACCUUUGCAUAGCUCAGUUUCAAUUCACUCCUGUUUAUCCUGGCUCAAUGAUUCUCAAAUUCUC